AACGAACGCUGGCGGCGCGCCUAAUACAUGCAAGUCGAGCGAGAAGACGUAGCAAUACGUUUGUAAAGCGGCGAACGGGUGAGGAAUACAUGGGUAACCUACCCUCGAGUGGGGAAUAACUAGCCGAAGGUUAGCUAAUACCGCGUACGCUCCUUGGACUUCGGUUCAGGGAGGAAAGCGAUACCGUGGGUAUCGCGCUCUUGGAUGGGCUCAUGUCCUAUCAGCUUGUUGGUGAGGUAACGGCUCACCAAGGCUUCGACGGGUAGCUGGUCUGAGAGGACGAUCAGCCACACUGGCACUGCGACACGGGCCAGACUCCUACGGGAGGCAGCAGUAAGGAAUAUUGCGCAAUGGGCGAAAGCCUGACGCAGCGACGCCGCGUGGGGGAUG
RNAcentral lists this ribosomal RNA (390 nucleotides) under uncultured bacterium. RNAcentral's name for it is "bacterial SSU rRNA". It matches the Rfam family "Bacterial small subunit ribosomal RNA", at positions 29 to 410 of the family's 1533-position model. The record is from RNAcentral.